GACGAACGCUGGCGGCGUGCCUAAUACAUGCAAGUAGAACGCUGAAGCUUGGUGCUUGCCCCGAGCGGAUGAGUUGCGCACGGGUGAGUAACGCGUAGGUAACCUGCCUGGUAGCGGGGGAUAACUAUUGGAAACGAUAGCUAAUACCGCAUAAGAGUAGAUGUUGCAUGACAUUUGCUUAAAAGGUGCAAUUGCAUCCCUACCAGAUGGACCUGCGUUGUAUUAGCUAGUUGGUGAGGUAACGGCUCACCAAGGCAACGAUACAUAGCCGACCUGGGAGGGUGAUCGGCCACACUGGGACUGGGACACGGCCCAGACUCCUACGGGAGGCAGCAGUAGGGAAUCUUCGGCAAUGGACGGAAGGCUGACCGAGCAACGCCGCGGGAGUGAAGAAGGGUUUCGGAUCGUAAAGCUCUGUUGUAAGAGAAGAACGAGUGUGAGAGUGGAAAGUUCACACUGUGACGGUAGCUUACCAGAAAGAGACGGCUAACUACGUG
This 497-nucleotide ribosomal RNA is filed under the name uncultured bacterium. RNAcentral's name for it is "partial 16S ribosomal RNA". It matches the Rfam family "Bacterial small subunit ribosomal RNA", at positions 28 to 507 of the family's 1533-position model. The record is from RNAcentral.